Long non-coding RNA from Octopus sinensis (East Asian common octopus), 119 nucleotides. RefSeq lists it as uncharacterized. The transcript is spliced from 3 exons. The record is from RefSeq and is a predicted model, not a curated record. Lineage: Eukaryota; Metazoa; Mollusca; Cephalopoda; Octopoda; Octopodidae.
CAGUCAUUGAUUAGAAAAAGAAAUCAAGGGGAGAAAGGUCUGGUGAACGAGGGGACCAUUCCAUAUGACCCCUUCUUCCAAUCUAGUGAGGAAAAGUGUCAUUAAGCCAAUCUCUAACA